RNAcentral lists this ribosomal RNA (434 nucleotides) under uncultured Clostridium sp. Its description in RNAcentral is "partial 16S ribosomal RNA". It matches the Rfam family "Bacterial small subunit ribosomal RNA", at positions 341 to 792 of the family's 1533-position model. Lineage: Bacteria; Bacillati; Bacillota; Clostridia; Eubacteriales; Clostridiaceae. The record is from RNAcentral.
ACGGAAGGCAGCAGUGGGGAAUAUUGCACAAUGGGGGAAACCCUGAUGCAGCGACGCCGCGUGAGUGAAGAAGUAUUUCGGUAUGUAAAGCUCUAUCAGCAGGGAAGAAAAUGACGGUACCUGACUAAGAAGCCCCGGCUAACUACGUGCCAGCAGCCGCGGUAAUACGUAGGGGGCAAGCGUUAUCCGGAUUUACUGGGCGUAAAGGGAGCGCAGACGGCAAAGCAAGUCUGAAGUGAAAGCCCGGGGCUCAACCCCGGGACUGCUUUGGAAACUGUUUAGCUAGAGUACUGGAGAGGUAAGCGGAAUUCCUAGUGUAGCGGUGAAAUGCGUAGAUAUUAGGAAGAACACCAGUGGCGAAGGCGGCUUACUGGACUGUAACUGACGUUGAGGCUCGAAAGCGUGGGGAGCAAACAGGAUUAGAUACCCUGGUA